ACAUUCUCAAUUCUCAUUGGUCAAAAAAGAAUGUCAAAGAUUAUGAAUUAAGACCAUUGAUUUGAAAAAGAUCAAAAUCCCACCAUUGAAUCCCUCCCUAUCCCUAAACCCUCCCUCUUUUGUCUUUUCGCUCAUUCUCGUUCCUCACAGCCUCCCUCUUCAUCUUCCUCAUUCCUCUUCCAUCUUCACGUACACCAUUGAAUCUCAGAUCUAUUUUCUCUCUCAUCUCUCACGCUCAACCUCUUAGUUUCUCUAUCUCCUACCUUCAUAUGUUCUUACUGGUGUGCUAAAGUCCAAGAAAUCAAAGUAAAUCUACAAGGUAGAGCAAGGGUUGUGAAAUGGGUUCUUUAUGCCAUAACUCAAGUAUAGUUGAAGAUCUUUAGUCAAAAUCGCAAGAUUCAAGAAGAAGUGCCAAAAAUAUGAAAAUCUCAUUGUUUAUAUACUUGAUGUAAUGAGAUGUCUUACAAGUGUUGGAGAGUCGAUGCUUUGAAUUCUAGUGGAUUUUGAUUUCUUGGUUGUUAAUGGAUGGAAUCACAAGUAUUAAUAGAUUUCUUUUUAGGAUUAUUUUAAUUUGUAAAAAUUUUAUGCUGUAAAUUUGUUUAUUAUAUCCUCCCAAUUCUUUUGA
RNA transcript from Beta vulgaris subsp. vulgaris (sugar beet), 625 nucleotides. RefSeq lists it as uncharacterized. The transcript is spliced from 2 exons. NCBI's taxonomy places the organism in Eukaryota, Viridiplantae, Streptophyta, Magnoliopsida, Caryophyllales, Amaranthaceae. The record is from RefSeq and is a predicted model, not a curated record.